CGGGAUGGACGCACCGCUGGUGCACCAGUUGUUCCGCCAGGAGCAUAGCUGGGUAGCUACGUGCGGAUGGGAUAAACGCUGAAAGCAUCUAAGCGUGAAGCCCUCCUCAAGAUGAGAUUUCCCAAUUAGUAAGACCCCUUGAAGACGACGAGGUUGAUAGGCCUGAGGUGGAAGUGCAGCAAUGUAUGGAGCUGACAGGUACUAAUCGGUCGAGGGCUUAUCCAAUUU
Molecule: ribosomal RNA, 228 nt
Filed under: Paenibacillus woosongensis
Lineage: Bacteria; Bacillati; Bacillota; Bacilli; Caryophanales; Paenibacillaceae
Description: partial 23S ribosomal RNA
Rfam family: Bacterial large subunit ribosomal RNA
Source: RNAcentral